RNAcentral lists this ribosomal RNA (614 nucleotides) under Cinachyrella kuekenthali. RNAcentral's name for it is "partial 28S ribosomal RNA". It matches the Rfam family "Eukaryotic large subunit ribosomal RNA", at positions 72 to 546 of the family's 3401-position model. Lineage: Eukaryota; Metazoa; Porifera; Demospongiae; Tetractinellida; Tetillidae. The record is from RNAcentral.
GGAUUCCCCCAGUAACGGCGAGCGAAGCGGGACGAGCUCGAGCAGUCAAUCUCUGGCGUGGAUCGUCAGCGAAUUGUGGCCGGGAGAGGCGGGUGCACCGGAGGCGCCUCCGUCGAAGUUGACCUGGAAAGGCACGUCGGAGAGGGUGAUAGCCCCGUGCGGGGCGGAGGUGCCGAAGGCCGCUACCGUCUUCCGAGAGUCGGGUUGUUUGAGAUUGCAGCCCAAAUGGGGUGGUAAACUCCAUCUAAAGCCAAACAGCGGCACGAGACCGAUAGCGAACAAGUACCAUGAGGGAAAGGUGAAAAGCACUUUGGAAAGAGAGUUAAAGAGACCGCGAAACCGUUAGGAGGGAAACGCAUGCAGCCGAACUGGCCUUCGUCGGGUUCACGGGGCCGCGCGAGUCCUGGUCGAGCCGGAUGUCACCCAUGCGGGGUCGUCUGCUCGGCGGUGGUCUCCGCUCCCCUGCACUCCCGGCGGUGGGGGCCGGCCAAGGACGGUGGUGUCCCCGGCAAAAAGGACGGUCGGGUAGGUGGUGCAGCCGGCCCUCUCGGGUCGGAGGCGAGCUUAGAGCCGUCCGUUCGGCAGGUCGCGGGUCCACCGAGGAGAGUGGUGGC